Molecule: long non-coding RNA, 9881 nt
Filed under: Eutrema salsugineum
Lineage: Eukaryota; Viridiplantae; Streptophyta; Magnoliopsida; Brassicales; Brassicaceae
Description: long non-coding RNA (ESAL_LNC002018)
Source: RNAcentral
AAAUACAAAACAAUGACUCAGAGAUAAAGAAGAACCCAACAACAACAACAGCAACAAAAAUGGAACUUGUACAAAUCUUAAUCCUCUCUUCUCUCUUAUUCUUGAUCUCCGUCAGAUUCUUGCUCACAAGAUCCAAACGGAAGCUGAACCUUCCUCCGUCUCCGGCGAUAUCUUUGCCGUUUAUCGGCCACCUUCACCUCCUCAAGCCACCAAUCCACCGAAUAUUCCUUUCACUCUCAAAAUCCAUCGGAAAUGCUCCGAUCUUUCACCUCCGCCUUGGAAACCGCCUCGUUUAUGUCAUCUCGUCACGUCCCAUGGCCGAAGAAUGUUUCACUGAGAACGACGUCGUUCUCGCGGACCGUCCCAAGUUCAUCUUGAGCAAGCACGUUUUCUACAACUCCACUCAUUUAGCCUCAGCAUCUUACGGCGACCACUGGAGGAAUCUCCGCCGCAUCGCCGCCAUAGAGAUAUUCUCGACUCAGAGACUUAAUUCGUUUUUAUUUAUCCGUAAGGACGAGAUCCGACGGCUCAUCUCACGGCUUUCCCGUGACUCUUUACAAGUAUACGACCUCUCUUUAUUCAUUUUUAAUUUAUUUUUAACUGACGUUUUUUUUUUAUAUGUAUUAAUUCUGGAUGGUACAACAUUACUUAUACUGUUAUACACCAGUAGGCUAGAUUUAUCUUGGUCAACUAGUUUUCUUUUCACUCGAAGACGUUAAGUUAAGUUAUUUUUUCAUGUGCUUAAGGCGUUUACUUUUCCAAGAAGAAAAUAAGUUUUUCCAAGGCGUAUAUAUGAAAGCCAUUAUUUUCGAACGUCUCAACUCAUCACAUUAUAUACAUAGUCUAUACACAUAAAACGUAACUCUAACUUAUACUGAUGAUCAAGUUUAGGUUCUAAUUCUUGUUUGAAAUUGGUAAAAUAUAUGGUUUUAGCUCUUAUUGUUUUAAAUUGUAAUGGUAUAUAUUUCCACCAGGGAUUUGUGGAGGUGGAGAUGAAAUCAUUAUUAACCGAUUUGGCAUCCAACAACGUCAUCAGAAUGGUGGCCGGGAAGCGAUACUACGGUGAGGAUAGCGACGAAGCUAAAGUCGUGAGGCAACUUGUGGCGGAGGUGGUGACCAGCAACGGUGCUGGAAACCCAGCUGAUUAUCUUUCGGUUUUACGUUGGCUAACCAAUUACGAGAAGCGAAUCAAGAAUCUAGGGAACCGUUUUGAUGCGUUUUUACAGAGAAUUGUCGACGAGAAACGUGCAGAGAAAGAAAAAGGUCAAACUAUGAUCGAUCACUUGCUUUCUCACCAAGAAACCCAACCCGAAUACUAUACAGAUGUCAUUAUCAAAGGACUCAUACUCGUAAGUAUUCCAUUCAUUCAAUAAGCAAAAUAUACAUACAUAAAAGUUUAUUAACAACCAAUGUGUGCAGAGUCUGAUACUUGCAGGGACAGACACCUCAGCGGUGACAAUAGAAUGGGCAAUGUCGAAUUUGUUGAACCAUCCACAAGUACUUAAAAAGGCGAGAACCGAGAUCGAUGAGAAAAUUGGUUUUGACCGGUUCGUAGAGGAAUCGGACAUUGUGAAUCUCCCUUAUCUCCAAAACAUUGUCUCGGAGACAUUACGUUUGUACCCUUCGGUUCCGCUACUACUACCUCAUUUGUCAUCGAAAGAUUGUAAAGUGGCGGGAUAUGAUAUCCCACGUGGUACGAUGCUGUUGACUAACGUGUGGGCUAUGCAUAGAGAUCCAGAGUUAUGGGAAGAUCCAGAGAUGUUCAAGCCAGAAAGAUUUGAAAAGGAAGGAGAGGCUGAGAAGCUAAUGCCAUUUGGGAUGGGUCGAAGAGCUUGUCCUGGAGAAGUUCUUGCUCAACGUUUAGUGAGUCUGGUUCUUGGAACUUUGGUUCAAUGUUUCGAGUGGGAAAGGGUUAGUGAGGAACUUGUGGACAUGACCGAAGAGAAAGGAAUCACGCUGCCUAAACUAGUGCCUUUGCGAACCAUGUGCAAAGCACGCUCCAUUGUUGGUAAACUGAUAUAGUGCUUGUCUUAAGAAGUGUAUUUGUUUGCUUUAUCAACACAAACAAAAAAGAAGUGUAUUUGUUUUUUGUUUUUGUCUUUGUUUUUGUUUUUACUUAAGAAACAUGUAUUAAUUUGUUUAAAUGGCAACUUUUUUAUGUGUUUAUUUGUUUGGGUCGUCAUGCGAAUAUUUUGCUGCAACUUUCACGAUCUUGUUUGAUAUCGGCUUCAUGGUCACUACUCACUAGGUCAAAUAUCAAUUUAAUACAGUGAAUCUCAAGCUACCACAUAUAAAAAAUGCUAUAAAUAUAUAUAAUUGCCAAACCAUAUAAUAAAAAUUUGCGAUAGUCAACUGUACAAUAUAUAGUACUAUAAUAUAUGGCUGUGUCAGUCAACUGUAGCAUUACUAGAGCCAUGGAACUCGCAAAAGAAAACCAUUACACUGAACUACUAACUAUGUUUGGUUUGAAGUCCUGUAUGGAGUUGAUAAAAUGAUCAAAAAAAGGAAAAGAAACAAUAAUUAUAAAGUCUAUAAAAACAAUAUAAGUCUCCAAAAUCCAUAAAAACAAUAUAAUUCGACAGUAGACCAAAAUACGAACAAACAGAUAUAUGUGUAAAAUUUCUCCAAUGCUAAUGAUGACCAUAACGAUCAGUCCAGUGGAAAGCACCGAUCGAUGCUGGUGAAAAGAUUGUAAAAUAGGUAGCUCAAAUUCAGCCAAUUAUUAAUCUAAGAACUUAUGAAAACAGCAGAUUAUUAUAGAACUCGGAAACAAUUUGCUUGUUUAUCAAUUAACCAUGUAGGCUCCAUCGUAAUUAAGGAUCCAAAACCAUGAAGUUUUUCAAAGGCGUGAAGUUUUCGAGAGCCAUGUCAACCACGGCAAUCGCCACGCCUGGAAUUUUUCAACGUAUUCGCCGAAUGUGUACACUGUACUGUUUCGCGGAUCAGACCGCAAACUCGCAGACCUUAUUGGGUUGGGCCGUGGAUCCUCGGCCCGGUUAGCAUCUCUACCACCUACUGUAGUUAAAUUUAAAAAUCUCUACCACCUACUGUAGUUAAAUUUAAAAAUCGCCAAUAAUAAUACAUCACACGCCACAGCUAAUGUGUCAAUAUCAAAAACAACAAAUACAAAACAAUGACUCAUGGAUAUUUGUAAAUUUAAGCUGGAGAGAAGAAUAAUCAAUCACAAAACUGAAAAAAAGACUCAGAGAUAAAGAAAAGAACUCUACAAGUCAAGCAUAGGUUUCAGUUUGUGUUGAAAAAUGUUUUAAAUAAAAAUUGUAGAAAACAUGUAUUUUUCUUUUGAAUAUAAUUUAACAUUGUAUUUUUUUUUUUUUUUAAAAGAAUGCCUCAGAGAUAAAGAAGAACCCAACAACAAAUAUAAAAGAAUGACUCCGAGAUAAAAGAAGAACACAACAACAACAACAAAAAUGGAACUUAUACAAAUCUUAAUACUCUCUUCUCUCUCUCUCUUGAUCUCCGUCAGAUUCUUGCUCACAAGAUCCAAACGGAAGCUGAACCUUCCUCCGUCUCCGGCGAUAUCUUUGCCGUUCAUCGGCCACCUUCACCUCCUCAAGCCACCGAUCCACCGAACUUUCCUUUCACUCUCAAAAUCCAUCGGAAUUGCUCCGAUCUUCCACCUCCGCCUCGGAAACCGCCUCGUUUAUGUCAUCUCUUCACGUCCCAUGGCCGAAGAAUGUUUCACUGAGAACGACGUCGUUCUCGCGGACCGUCCCAAGUUCAUCUUGAGCAAGCACGUCGGCUACGACGCCACUCAUUUACUCUCAGCAUCUUACGGCGACCACUGGAGGAAUCUCCGUCGUAUCGCCGCCAUAGAGAUAUUCUCGACUCAGAGACUUAAUUCCUCUUUGUUUAUCCGUAAGGACGAGAUCCAACGGCUCAUAUCACGGCUUUCCCGAGAUUCUUUACACGUAAGACCUUUUUUUUUUAAUGACCCCCUUUUUUAUAGAUAUAUAUAUUGAUUCCUUUUUUAUGCUUAUUUUUUUUAAUGACCCCCUUCUAUUUCUUCUAUUUAUAUGUAAAUAAUCAUACAUUUAUGGGAUUGAUAGUUAUAAUUUUUUUGUUUUUAUAAAUACUGUAUGUACUUUGCGAUAAUUUUUUUGGUUUUUAUAAAUACUGUAUAUACAGUGCGACAAUGCUUGUGAUUGACUUUGAAUUUUGGAUGGUACAACAUUACUUAUACACAACUAGGUUUAUCUUUGUCAACUAGCUUUCUUUUCACGGGAAAACGUUUAUUUAAGUAGUAUUAUUCAUGUGCUUAGUUUACUUUUCCAAGAAGAUAUUAAAAUAAGUUUUCCCAAUGUGUAUAUAUGAUAGCCAUUAUUUUCGAAAGUCUUCAUCACAAUAUACAUAGUCUAUACACAUAUAUUCCGAAGAAAAAAAACGUAUAUAAAACGUAACUCUAACUUAUAUUGAUGAUCAAAAUUAGGUUCUAAUUGUUUUAAAAUGGUAAGAUAUUUGGUUUUAGUUCUAAUUGUUUGAAAUUGGAAUGGCAUCUCCACCUGCAGGGAUUUGUGGAGGUGGAGAUGAAAACAUUAUUAACCAAUUUGGCAUCCAACAACGUCAUGAGAAUGGUGGCUGGGAAGCGAUACUACGGUGAGGAUAGCGACGAAGCUAAAGUCGUGAGGCAACUUGUGUCGGAGGUGGUGACCAGCGCCGGUGCUGGGAACCCAGCUGAUUAUCUUUCGGUUUUACGUUGGCUCACAAAUUACGAGAAGCGAAUCAAGAAUCUAGGAAAUCGUUUUGAUGCGUUUUUACAGAGAAUUGUUGACGAGAAACGUGCAGAAAAAGAAAAAGGUCAAACUAUGAUCGAUCACUUGCUUACUCUCCAAGAAACCCAACCCGAAAACCAUACGGAUGUCAUCAUCAAAGGACUCAUACUCGUAAGUAUUCCAUUCAUUCAAUAAGAAAAAUAAACUGUAUACAUACAUAAAGUUUAUAUUAACAACCAAUAUGUGCAGACUCUGGUACUUGCAGGGACAGACACCUCAGCGGUGACAACAGAAUGGGCAAUGUCCAAUUUGUUGAACCAUCCACAAGUACUUAAAAAGGCGAGAACCGAGAUCGAUGAGAAAAUUGGUUUUGACCGGUUAGUAGACGAACCGGACAUUGUGAAUCUCCCUUAUCUCCAAAACAUUGUCUCGGAGACACUACGUUUGUACCCUGCGGUUCCGCUACUACUACCUCAUAUGUCAUCGAAAGAUUGUAGAGUGGCGGGAUAUGAUAUCCCACGUGGUACGAUGGUAUUGACUAACGUGUGGGCUAUGCAUAGAGAUCCAGAGUUAUGGGAAGAUCCAGAGAUGUUCAAGCCAGAGAGAUUUGAAAAGGAAGGAGAGGCUGAGAAGCUAAUGCCAUUUGGGUUGGGUCGAAGAGCUUGUCCUGGAGCAGGGCUUGCUCAACGGUUAGUGAGUCUGGUUCUUGCAACUUUGAUUCAAUGUUUCGAGUGGGAAAGGUUUGGUGAGGAACUUGUGGACAUGACCGAAGAGAACGGAGUCACGCUGCCUAAACUAGUGCCUUUGCGAACCAUGUGUAAAGCACGUUCCAUUGUGGGUAAACUGAUAUCUUGCUCGUCUUAAGAAGUGUAUUUUUUUGUUUUAUUUACUUAAUAAACAUGUAUUGAUUGACAACUUUUUUAUGUGUUUAUUUGUUUGGGUCGUCAGGCGAGUAGUUUGCUGUAACUUUCACAAUCUUGUUUGAUAUCGGCUUAAUGGGCACAAGGUCAAAUAUCAUUUUAAUACAGUGAAUCUCUCAAGCUAUCACAUAUAAAAAAUGUUAUAAAAAUAAUUGCCGAACCAUAAAAUAAAAAUUUGCGAUAGUCAACUGUAAAUAUAUAGUACUAUAACAUAUGGUUGUGUUAGUCAAAGCAUUACUAGAGCCAUGGAACUCGCAAAAGAAAUCCAUUACACAGAACUACUAUCUAAGUUUUGUUUGAUAAAAUGAUAAAAAAAGGAAAAGAAACACCAAUAAUUAAAAUUUAGAAUAAUUAAUUUCCUUUGAAACUCAGCCCCUCUAAGUCGUUAGAAGAGGAAUAUUUUAGAUAUUUAAUACAAGUAUUACUUGUUUAGCAAUAUUUGAGAUAUUUUAGACAAGUAUAUGUAGUACUUGUUUAUCCUAGUUUUUGUAUUUGACUUGUUUUCAAUUGUCGUGUUCGUUUAGCGUAGACCAUAGAGUAAUAAAAGAAGAGCGAAAAUUAAUGCUGGAUACAAUUACUAAUUAUAAAACUACUUUCUCCCAAAAUUUUCAUAUAAUUAUAGUGAAAUUUAUAAGGGUGUUUAUAACGGUUUCUUUACUUUUCACAUUUAAUGAAAAAGUACUAAAACUCGUUUGUGUUUUUAGUUGUUUGCUUCUAAUUCUUUUAGAUAUCAGAUUUUUUUUUAAUCUAAAUUCAAAAUUUACAAAAAAAAAAAUUAUUAAACAGAUUUUUAGUUGUAGAAUCAGUAGUUGAUUAUCGUUUUCUUUAAGAAAACAGAGUACCCACCCGGUCCAAUCUCCCACAGAGCUACGCAACAAAAUACAAAAAAGGAAAGAAACCUCCAAAACAAACAAGCAACCAGUAUACAAAACCGAAAAUGGACUUCACCCAAAUUUUACUUCUUAUCUCCUUUAUCUUUAUCUUCAUCUCCAUCAAAUUCUUCUUCACAAAAUCAAACGGGAAGCUGAAUCUUCCUCCUUCUCCGGCUUACUCUUUACCGGUUAUCGGCCACCUCCACCUCCUCAAGAACCCUAUCCACCGAACAUUCCUCUCCCUUUCUCAGUCCCUCGGGAAUACUCCGAUCUUCCACCUCCGCUUCGGAAACCGACUCGUUUACGUCAUCUCCUCGCAUUCCAUAGCCGAAGAAUGCUUCACCAGAAACGACGCGUUCUUGCGAACCGACCCGAGGUCAUCAUGGGCAAACACAUCGCCUACGACUCCACCAUCAUGAUUACAGCAUCUUACGGCGAUCACUGGAGGAAUCUCCGCCGUAUCGCCGCCGUCGAGAUAUUCUCUUCUCAGAGGAUCAGUACGUUUAUGUCCGUCCGUAAAGACGAGAUCCGACAGCUCAUAACGCACCUCUCGAGAAACUCCCUACACGUAAAUCAUUUUUUUAUUUAUUCAUUGAUUGAUUUUUAUAUUCGUGGUAGACAUAAUAUAAGUAGAGCAAAUUCUUUCUUUACGUUGUGUGGCGUUGUAUUCGUCACCUAUUUACUCCAUUUCCAUGUUGACACCUAGCCGAGUAGGUAUUUUCCAGCCUUCCGUAUCGUGCAUAUUUAAUAAUGUCCAUAUGAUUUGGUAUAUUCUAGCCUCCGGCCCAUGCAUAUUUAAUAUUUUUUUUUUUGUUACUCGUCACUUCAUACUAUAUAGGUGCCCAAAAGAAAACUUUUAUAUUUCCAUAGAUCUCAAUUCUCAACUGUAAUUAUAUAAUUAUCUUUUCUAUUUUCUGAAAGGACAACUGUAAUUAUAUAAUUAUCUUUUAUAUUUUCUGAAAGGAGGGAAAACUUACUAAUUUAUACAACUGAAACAAAUCUUUUGAAAAAAAAAACAAAGAAAAUAUGAAACAAUAUGUAACCAUCUAAAAUUUGAUAUAAAUUUCUAGUAACUUUGAAGUUUUAGAUAAUGUAAACUUUACCUGUUGAAUUUGAAAGAAAAAUUCUAAAAUAAAAUAAAAUCUAUAUCACAUGUAUCAUUUUGAAUCUAUUAUAAUUAAUUCAAAAAAAAUGAUUAAUAAAAAUAAUCGGUCUCACAGGGAUUUGUGGAAGUGGAGAUGCAAUCAUUAUUAGCCAGCUUGGCCCUCAACAACAUCAUCAUGAUGGUAGCCGGGAAACGAUAUUACGGUGUCGGCACAGAAGACAACGCCGAGGCCAAAAUCGUGAGGGCACUUAUAUCGGAGGCGUUGGCUAGCUCCGGUGCAGGAAAUCUAGCUGACUAUCUUCCGAUCGUACGUUGGGUCACAGAUUAUGAAAAACGGGCCAAAAUCUUGGGGAAUCGAUUCGAUGGAUUCUUGCAAAGACUGGUUGAUGAGAAACGUGCAGAGAAAACAAAAGGUCAAACUUUGAUCCAUCACUUGCUUUCUCUCCAAGAAACCCAACCUGAGUAUUAUACUGACGUCAUCAUCAAAGGAAUCAUAAUCGUAAGUACUUUUAUUACUUCAUAUAGUAUAUCUAAUAUAUAUUGAGAGUUUACUAAUGGAUUAAAGAUGCAUGUAUACACAGUCUCUGGUAAUUGCCGGGACAGACACGUCAGCAGUGACGCUAGAGUGGGCAAUGUCGAAUUUGUUGAACCAUCCAGAGAUACUUGAGAAAGCAAGAGCAGAAAUCGAUGAUAAAAUCGGUUUAGACCGGCUAGUUGAGGAAUCAGACAUUGUGAAUCUCCAUUAUCUCCAAAACAUCGUGUCUGAAACGCUGCGUUUGUAUCCCCCGGCUCCGCUGCUACUCCCUCACUUGUCGUCGGAAGAUUGUAUUGUGGCAGGAUACGAUAUGCCACGUGGCACUCUGUUAUUGACAAACGUAUGGGCUAUGCAUAGAGAUCCAAGUUUAUGGGAAGAGCCAGAGGUUUUCAAGCCGGAGAGAUUCGAGAAAGAAGGAGAGUCGCAGAAGCUAAUAUUACCGUUUGGGAUGGGGAGAAGGGCAUGUCCAGGAGCAGAGCUUGGGAAGAAGUUGGUGAGCCUGGCUCUUGGGUGUUUGAUUCAGUGUUUCGAGUGGCAAAGAGUUGGUGAGGAACUUGUGGACAUGACUGAAGACAAAGGGCUCACUAUGCCUAAAGCUACUCCUUUGCGAGCUAUGUGUAUGGCACGUGCUUGUGCCGGUAAAAUGAUAUAAACGUACGUAAGUAUUGUGUUGGUCACACAUUUACUGCAUGCCACAUGUUUAAUCGUAGAGAUACAGUUGAGUUUUGUGGUCAACAAGUUUAGUUGGAUAAGCAAGUUUUUUUUUUUUUUUGAAAAGGUUAGUUGAUUAAUUAAGCUUCUUUGAUGCCGAUAAUUUUUCGUCGGGUUAGAGUUGGUUAUGGGUUUUGUUGACAUGCUUAUGAGAUUCGCAUAGCCCAAUUUAAUUUUUUUUUUUUAAAUAAAGAUAAAGACAAUCUAAGAAAUCCCAAGAUCAUAGGUCGAGCAAAGCUAAAAAAAAUUGGAAUAUACAAGACUUUAUCGAGAACUUCCAAUAAAACUUGUUGGAUUUUGAUUAAAUGAAAAGGGCGUUUAGUGGUUAAGCGUUCAGCUUUGAAAAGACAUAAGUGGUUACUGUAAAAUAUCAUUUUGUUUUUUAUUUAUUAUUUUUGUUCAUACAUUGUUAGAAAACCACAUGAGCAGCCAUGAACUUUGACAUUCUCAUGUAAAAUUGUUUUCAUUUUUUUAACUUUUCUCAAAAUGGUUGUUUACUUGAUUUAAAUAUUUUUUCUUUCGUAGUAAACUCCUACAUAUAUUGCGUGCACGUUAUUCAACAGGACGCUUAUUUUUAUCACUAAAACUAUAUAAUAUAUGCACUAUUUUUAUUAGUUUCAUUUUUGGUUAUUUUACCUUAGAAUAUAUGAGUGUCAAAAUCAGUAUUAAUUAGUGGCCCUUUUUUUCCGUGUAGGCCAGUAUCUAAUAAUUCAUUAAACUAUUUAAUGACGCCAUAGAAACCCAAACACACACACAAAAGUAGAGAAAAGAAGAAGAAAAUUAAAAGUCGUCAUGGAUUAUGUUUUACUUAUCCUUACCAUUCUUAUUACAAUUCUCAUUACCAAGAUUCUUCUCUCACUCUCUAAACCAAACAAAAAUCUCCCACCGUCGCCACGUAUCUGUUUUCCGAUCAUCGGACACCUUCACCUCCUCAAUGACCCGUUGAUUCACCGCACGUUCCGCCGUCUCUCGCACUCCCUCGGUCCUGUCUUCUCUCUCCGCCUCGGC